Molecule: long non-coding RNA, 204 nt
Organism: Melanotaenia boesemani (Boeseman's rainbowfish)
Lineage: Eukaryota; Metazoa; Chordata; Actinopteri; Atheriniformes; Melanotaeniidae
Exons: 4
Source: RefSeq, a predicted model, not a curated record
AGCAUUAAGUAUAACUAAUUGCUUUUUUAAUCACCCCUUUACUAAAAACACUAGCACAAAAUGAAACACACCACUGCUGUGGGUUCCCCACCCCACGGGAGUCGGGCCAUGGUGGUCAUGGCCCUCAGGAGCUGUGGUUGGCGUCCCUUAUUUUCACUUCUGAAAGUUGGCACCCCUAGUGUUGAUCCCUGGAAACUGACUUUU